RNAcentral lists this ribosomal RNA (369 nucleotides) under uncultured bacterium. RNAcentral's name for it is "bacterial SSU rRNA". It matches the Rfam family "Bacterial small subunit ribosomal RNA", at positions 525 to 896 of the family's 1533-position model. The record is from RNAcentral.
ACGGAGGAUGCAAGCGUUAUCCGGAUUCAUUGGGUUUAAAGGGUGCGUAGGCGGCUUUUUAAGUCAGUGGUGAAAUCCUGCCGCUUAACGGUAGAAUUGCCAUUGAUACUGAGAAGCUUGAGUACAGUUGAGGUAAGCGGAAUGUGUAGUGUAGCGGUGAAAUGCUUAGAUAUUACACAGAACACCGAUUGCGAAGGCAGCUUACUAAACUGUUACUGACGCUGAUGCACGAAAGCGUGGGGAGCGAACAGGAUUAGAUACCCUGGUAGUCCACGCCGUAAACGAUGCUCACUCGCUGUAUGCGAUACACAGUAUGCGGCCAAGCGAAAGCAUUAAGUGAGCCACCUGGGGAGUACGAUCGCAAGGUUG